Molecule: long non-coding RNA, 305 nt
Organism: Centruroides sculpturatus (bark scorpion)
Lineage: Eukaryota; Metazoa; Arthropoda; Arachnida; Scorpiones; Buthidae
Exons: 3
Source: RefSeq, a predicted model, not a curated record
GAAAAGAAAUCGUCCUAGAAGGAAAAUAAUGAAUUCUAUGUAUCUAGAGAAAUUAAAAUGGAUAAUACACCCUAAAGAAGUUUUAGAAAUUGAGUCAGCUGGUUAUAAAAUUAAUCAACUCAUAAGCGAAUUAGAUCUGAAAAUAAUGAAAUUUACUAAAUACGGAAAGGAAUUCAUCAAAAGGAGAAACCUCAAUCCUGAUGUUUAUAUUGAAAUAUGCAUACAAAUGGCUUAUUUUAGAUUAUAUAAAACGUUAACAUCAACAUAUCAAGCCGCUUCCUUACGCAAAUUUAGAUAUGAAAGAU